UACGUAGGGUGCAAGCGUUGCUCGGAAUUAUUGGGCGUAAAGGGUAGGUAGGUGGUCUCAUUUGUCUGGGGUGAAAGCUUUGAGCUUAACUCAAGAAGUGCCCCAGAAACGGUGAGACUAGAGUUCUGGAGAGGGUCGUGGAAUUCCCGGUGUAGCGGUGAAAUGCGUAGAGAUCGGGAGGAACACCAGAGGCGAAGGCGGCGACCUGGACAGAUACUGACACUCCACUACGAAAGCGUGGGGAGCAAACAGG
Molecule: ribosomal RNA, 253 nt
Filed under: uncultured bacterium
Lineage: Bacteria
Description: partial 16S ribosomal RNA
Rfam family: Bacterial small subunit ribosomal RNA
Source: RNAcentral